AGCUGAUAAAGCUCUAUGACGACUGCAGUUCAGUCAUCAGAAGAAAAGAGCCCUGAGCACUCAAGGGUGAGCCAGAGCUGGCCAGUAGUCCAAGUCCUCAUGGUGAAAGGACACAAGCAAGGAGUGGGCUGGAGGGAAGCACAAGGGAGAAGGCUCGCCUGGAAACCACUGCAUUGGUGUCUGAAGUACAUA
Molecule: long non-coding RNA, 192 nt
Organism: Passer montanus (Eurasian tree sparrow)
Lineage: Eukaryota; Metazoa; Chordata; Aves; Passeriformes; Passeridae
Exons: 3
Source: RefSeq, a predicted model, not a curated record